This 717-nucleotide ribosomal RNA is filed under the name Bacillus subtilis. RNAcentral describes it as "bacterial SSU rRNA". It matches the Rfam family "Bacterial small subunit ribosomal RNA", at positions 54 to 754 of the family's 1533-position model. Lineage: Bacteria; Bacillati; Bacillota; Bacilli; Caryophanales; Bacillaceae. The record is from RNAcentral.
CAUGCAGUCGAGCGGACAGAUGGGAGCUUGCUCCCUGAUGUUAGCGGCGGACGGGUGAGUAACACGUGGGUAACCUGCCUGUAAGACUGGGAUAACUCCGGGAAACCGGGGCUAAUACCGGAUGGUUGUUUGAACCGCAUGGUUCAAACAUAAAAGGUGGCUUCGGCUACCACUUACAGAUGGACCCGCGGCGCAUUAGCUAGUUGGUGAGGUAACGGCUCACCAAGGCAACGAUGCGUAGCCGACCUGAGAGGGUGAUCGGCCACACUGGGACUGAGACACGGCCCAGACUCCUACGGGAGGCAGCAGUAGGGAAUCUUCCGCAAUGGACGAAAGUCUGACGGAGCAACGCCGCGUGAGUGAUGAAGGUUUUCGGAUCGUAAAGCUCUGUUGUUAGGGAAGAACAAGUACCGUUCGAAUAGGGCGGUACCUUGACGGUACCUAACCAGAAAGCCACGGCUAACUACGUGCCAGCAGCCGCGGUAAUACGUAGGUGGCAAGCGUUGUCCGGAAUUAUUGGGCGUAAAGGGCUCGCAGGCGGUUUCUUAAGUCUGAUGUGAAAGCCCCCGGCUCAACCGGGGAGGGUCAUUGGAAACUGGGGAACUUGAGUGCAGAAGAGGAGAGUGGAAUUCCACGUGUAGCGGUGAAAUGCGUAGAGAUGUGGAGGAACACCAGUGGCGAAGGCGACUCUCUGGUCUGUAACUGACGCUGAGGAGC